UGACCUGGAGGAUUAAAUCCGCAGAGUGUCCGUCCGUCCCGGCUUCGGAGUUUCAAGCAUCCCGACGAGAGAGCCUGUACAUCGGGACAUCCGUAGCGGCGACUGCGGAGGGUUCAUGGCCCCAACCACGGAUGAACAAAGGAGGAGGACUGACAAAGUUAUUGCCUUCCACCACA
Amblyraja radiata (thorny skate) is the source of this 176-nucleotide long non-coding RNA. RefSeq lists it as uncharacterized. The record is from RefSeq and is a predicted model, not a curated record. The transcript has 3 exons. Lineage: Eukaryota; Metazoa; Chordata; Chondrichthyes; Rajiformes; Rajidae.